UCCCAUAUUGUCUAGUGGUUAGGAUACCUGGCUCUCACCCAGGAGGCCCGGGUUCAAUUCCCUGUAUGGGGA
Non-coding RNA from Daphnia pulex (common water flea), 72 nucleotides. NCBI's taxonomy places the organism in Eukaryota, Metazoa, Arthropoda, Branchiopoda, Diplostraca, Daphniidae. The record is from Rfam.